Molecule: ribosomal RNA, 448 nt
Filed under: uncultured bacterium
Lineage: Bacteria
Description: bacterial SSU rRNA
Rfam family: Bacterial small subunit ribosomal RNA
Source: RNAcentral
CCCCAGACUCCUACGGGAGGCAGCAGUGGGGGAUAUUGCACAAUGGGGGGAACCCUGAUGCAGCGACGCCACGUGGGUGAAGGAGUAUUUCGGUAUGUAAAGCCCUAUCGGCAGGGAAGAAUUUAGACGGUACCUGACUAAGAAGCCCCGGCUAACUACGUGCCAGCAGCCGCGGUAAUACGUAGGGGGCAAGCGUUAUCCGGAUUCACUGGGUGUAAAGGGAGCGUAGACGGCCAGGCAAGCCUGGAGUGAAAGCCCGGGGCCCAACCCCGGGACUGCUCUGGGAACUGUCCGGCUGGAGUGCGGGAGGGGCAGGCGGAAUUCCUGGUGUAGCGGUGAAAUGCGUAGAUAUCAGGAGGAACACCGGCGGCGAAGGCGGCCUGCUGGACCGCGACUGACGUUGAGGCUCGAAAGCGUGGGGAGCGAACAGGAUUAGAUACCCGUGUAC